RNAcentral lists this ribosomal RNA (124 nucleotides) under Vibrio parahaemolyticus. RNAcentral's name for it is "partial 16S ribosomal RNA". It matches the Rfam family "Bacterial small subunit ribosomal RNA", at positions 1419 to 1533 of the family's 1533-position model. Lineage: Bacteria; Pseudomonadati; Pseudomonadota; Gammaproteobacteria; Vibrionales; Vibrionaceae. The record is from RNAcentral.
AAAAGAAGUAGGUAGUUUAACCUUCGGGGGGACGCUUACCACUUUGUGGUUCAUGACUGGGGUGAAGUCGUAACAAGGUAGCGCUAGGGGAACCUGGCGCUGGAUCACCUCCUUAAACGAUGAU